RNAcentral lists this unclassified non-coding RNA (919 nucleotides) under Bradyrhizobium sp. ORS 3635. Its description in RNAcentral is "partial 16S-23S ribosomal RNA intergenic spacer". The stretch from base 785 to 919 matches the Rfam family "Bacterial large subunit ribosomal RNA", at positions 1 to 133 of the family's 2925-position model. Lineage: Bacteria; Pseudomonadati; Pseudomonadota; Alphaproteobacteria; Hyphomicrobiales; Nitrobacteraceae. The record is from RNAcentral.
UUGCGGCUGGGAUCCCCUCCUUUUUAAGGAUGAUCCUUCAGCGAGCUCACGCUCACUAUCGGAUCGUUUAGAAACAUCAGUGGCCAACAGAUCGCCGAUCGUUGAGCGGCAUUGGCGGGAUUUCGCCGUCUUCGUUUCUCUUUCUUCCCGGACGAACACGCGCUGGGCCUGCAUCAUGCAGGAUCCCACGGUCCCUGACGGGAUAUGCGUUAGGGGCUUGUAGCUCAGUUGGUUAGAGCGCGCGCUUGAUAAGCGUGAGGUCGGAAGUUCAAGUCUUCCCAGGCCCACCACUUUCAUCGAGUGAGCAUUCGUCUUCUGGUUACGGGGCCAUAGCUCAGCUGGGAGAGCGCGUGCUUUGCAAGCAUGAGGUCGUCGGUUCGAUCCCGUCUGGCUCCACCAGAUGGUUUGAUCACCGAGAUCUUGCACCGUCGUCCGCGAAACAUCACUUCGCAUCCUGCUAGUCUGGAUAGACAGCAAGAUGCGUGUUUUCUGACAUCGUAAAGAGGAGAUCGAUCCGAGUUGGGUCGUGCAGCAGAUUGUUGCGCGAAUCCUUCAUUAUCUCCGGAUCAUUUUCGGCGCUCGCUUUCAGCCGUGAGGUUGAAUGCGAGUUGUAAAAUGAUCCUUUUAGCGAAGCUUGACCGCCUCGCUAUCGGAACGAUCUUACGAAGCAAGCUGGUCUUUCUAGUCAAUGUCCGGCUGCACGUAGCAUUCAUCGAGGGUGCGCGCCGUAAGGCAAUCGUGCAGACAACAUUCUGCCGAGUGUGUGGACAUUGAUAAUGAGAGCAAUCAAGUGCCUUAAGGGUGUUCGGUGGAUGCCUUGGCGCUGAGAGGCGAUGAAGACGUGCUACGCUGCGAUAAGCCGUGGGGAGCUGCGAAGAAGCUUUUGAUUCCGCGGAUUUCCGAAUGGGGAAACCCCGGA